AAGAAAAUAAGUAAGAGCGUAUGGAGGAUGCCUAGGCUCUCAGAGGCGAAGAAGGACGUGCUAAGCUGCGAAAAGCUUGGGGGAGUUGCACAGAAGCUGUGAUCCCAAGAUCUCCGAAUGGGGCAACCCGGCUACUUGAAGAGUAGUCACACCUUAGGGUGGGCAAACCCGCUGAACUGAAACAUCUAAGUAGGCGGAGGAAGAGAAAAUAAGUUAAUGAUUGCGCAAGUAGUGGCGAGCGAACGCGCAAGAGCCCAAACCAGUACUGUUACGGCAGUGCUGGGGUUGUAGGACCUCACCAUCGACGAAGUAUCUGAACUGGAAGGAGCUGGAAAGCUCCACCAUAGGGGGUGAUAGUCCCGUACAGGUAAAGUUACCAGUCGUAGAGUGUUCCUGAGUAAGGCGGGACCGGCGAAAUCCUGUCUGAAUCUGGCAGCACCAUCUGCCAAGGCUAAAUACUCCUGAGAGACCGAUAGUGAACUAGUACCGUGAGGGAAAGGUGAAAAGUACUCCGAAUAGGAGGGUGAAAUAGUACCUGAAACCAUACGCUUACAAGCGGUCGGAGCCCAUUCGUUGGGUGACGGCGUGCCUUUUGCAUAAUGAGCCUACGAGUUACUCCUCACUGGCAAGGUUAAGUGCUUGGAAGCACGUAGCCGGAGCGAAAGCGAGUCUGAACAGGGCGCCCAGAGUCAGUGGGGGUAGACGCGAAACCUUGUGAUCUACCCUUGGUCAGGUUGAAGGUGCGGUAACACGCACUGGAGGACCGAACCAGUAAACGUUGAAAAGUUUUUGGAUGAACUGAGGGUAGGGGUGAAAGGCCAAUCAAACUGGGAAAUAGCUCGUACUCCCCGAAAUGCUUUUAGGAGCAGCGUGGUGGUUUGAGUAUGACAGAGGUAGAGCUACCGAUUGGACUAGGGGGAGUCACAUCCUACCAAAUCCAGACGAACUCCGAAUGCUGAUCAUAUAUACACUGCAGUGAGGGCUUGGGUGCUAAGGUCCGAGUCCAAAAGGGAAACAACCCAGAUCAACAGCUAAGGUCCCUAAAUCUACACUAAGUUGAACUAAGGCGGUUCAGUUGCACAGACAGCCAGGAUGUUGGCUUGGAAGCAGCCAUUCAUUUAAAGAGUGCGUAACAGCUCACUGGUCGAGCGACAGAGCAUCGAUAAUAAUCGGGCAUCAAGUGUAGUACCGAAGCUUUGAAUUAGAGAUUUACGUCUCUAGUGGUAGGGGAGCAUUCCAAUCUGGCUGUGAAGGUGUGGCGUAAGCCAUGCUGGAGCGUUUGGAAAAGCAAAUGUAGGCAUAAGUAACGAUAAUGCAGGCGAGAAACCUGCACACCGAUAGACUAAGGUUUCCUGAGCAAUGCUAAUCAGCUCAGGGUUAGUCGGGGCCUAAGGCAAACCCGAAGGGGGUAGUCGAUGGAUAACGGGUUAAUAUUCCCGUACUGACUGUAAUGAGUGAUGGGGUGACGAAGGCGUGUAACCCUUGCGCACUGACGGAAUAGUGCGUUAAAGGCCGUAGGUAGACUCACCGUAGGAAAAUCCGCGGAGAGUGCUGAAAGCUGAUAGUACUCCAAGGCUUCGGCUGCGGAGAUAAUGGGGCCAAACAUACUUCCAAGAAAACCCUCUAAGCGUUUACAUUACAGCCACCCGUACCGCAAACCGACACAGGUAGUCAAGUGGCAAUCCACUAAGGUGCUCGAGUGAUUCAUGGUUAAGGAACUAGGCAAAUUAGACCUGUAACUUCGGAAGAAGGGUCGCUCCGCAGGAAUGCGGAGCCGCAGUGAAUAGGUCCAGGCGACUGUUUAACAAAAACACAGGGCUCUGCGAAAUCGAAAGAUGAAGUAUAGGGCCUGACACCUGCCCGGUGCUGGAAGGUUAAGGGGGGAUGUUAGGGGGUAACCUCGAAGCAUUGAACUGAAGCCCCAGUAAACGGCGGCCGUAACUAUAACGGUCCUAAGGUAGCGAAAUUCCUUGUCGGGUAAGUUCCGACCUGCACGAAUGGUGUAACGAUCUGGACACUGUCUCAACCAUGAGCUCGGUGAAAUUGUAGUCGCGGUGAAGAUGCCGCGUACCCGUCACGGGACGGAAAGACCCCAUGAACCUUUACUAUAACUUCACAUUGACAUUGGGCAACAGAUGUGUAGGAUAGGCCGGAAGCUAUGAAGCGGCGUCGCCAGGCGUCGUGGAGCUAACCUUGAAAUACGGCCCUUCUGUUGCUUGAUGCCUAACCAGCCAAGCUGGGACAUUGUGUGGUGGGUAGUUUGACUGGGGUGGUCGCCUCCAAAAGCGUAACGGAGGCUUCCAAAGGUACCCUCAGCACGAUUGGUAACCGUGCGCGGAGUGUAUUAGCACAAGGGUGCUUGACUGUGAGACUUACAAGUCGAUCAGGUGCGAAAGCAGGGUAAAGUGAUCCGGUGGUUCCGUAUGGAAGGGCCAUCGCUCAAAGGAUAAAAGGUACUCUGGGGAUAACAGGCUGAUCUCCCCCAAGAGCUCACAUCGACGGGGAGGUUUGGCACCUCGAUGUCGGCUCGUCACAUCCUGGGGCUGGAGAAGGUUCCAAGGGUUGGGCUGUUCGCCCAUUAAAGUGGCACGCGAGCUGGGUUCAGAACGUCGUGAGACAGUUCGGUCCCUAUCUGUGAUGGGCGCUGGAAGUUUGAGAGGACCUGAUUUUAGUACGAGAGGACCGAAUUGGACAUGCCGCUGGUCUGCCGGUUGUUCCGCCAGGAGCAUAGCCGGGUAGCUACGCAUGGACGAGAUAAGCGCUGAAAGCAUCUAAGCGCGAAACUCACCUCAAGAUGAGACUUCCUUCAAAGGGUCGUUGUAGACCACAACGUUGAUAGGCUGCAGGUACAAGCGGUGCGAGCCGUGUAGCUGAGCAGUACUAAUUGCCCGAAAUAGUUUUCUUUA
Ribosomal RNA from Cesiribacter andamanensis AMV16, 2906 nucleotides. It matches the Rfam family "Bacterial large subunit ribosomal RNA". The record is from Rfam. NCBI's taxonomy places the organism in Bacteria, Pseudomonadati, Bacteroidota, Cytophagia, Cytophagales, Cesiribacteraceae.